CUGUACAGUUCAGAGUUUGAUCCUGGCUCAGGAUGAACGCUGGCGGCGUGCCAAUACAUGCAAGUCGAGCGGAAAGGCCUCUUCGGAGGUACUCGAGCGGCGGACGGCUGAGUAACACGUAGGAACGUACCCCAAAGUGAGGAAUAACUGCCCGAAAGGGUAGCUAAUGCCGCAUGUGCUCUAAGGAGUAAAGCUUUAUGCGCUUUGGGAACGGCCUGCGUCCGAUUAGCUAGUUGGUGAGGUAAUUGCUCACCAAGGCGACGAUCGGUAGCUGGUCUGAGAGGAUGACCAGCCAGACUGGAACUGAGAACGGCCCAG
Molecule: ribosomal RNA, 318 nt
Filed under: uncultured bacterium
Lineage: Bacteria
Description: bacterial SSU rRNA
Rfam family: Bacterial small subunit ribosomal RNA
Source: RNAcentral